Clupea harengus (Atlantic herring) is the source of this 193-nucleotide long non-coding RNA. RefSeq lists it as uncharacterized. NCBI's taxonomy places the organism in Eukaryota, Metazoa, Chordata, Actinopteri, Clupeiformes, Clupeidae. The record is from RefSeq and is a predicted model, not a curated record. The transcript has 3 exons.
GGAGAUAAAAGGACCAGACGUUGUGUGCGUGCAUUACGGUGUCUGUAACCACACCCCUUCUCCUGUUGAGGUGCUUUCCUGAUUUGCCGGCCCUGUAUUCCUAGCCUUCCCUCUGACGCUCGCCUUCGGUAUGUCCUUGUCCCUGCAUGUUCAGUGAGGAACCGUACUUCGCCGCUGACCUCGUCGUUCCUGU